CCUACGGCGGCAGCAGUGGGGAAUAUUGGACAAUGGGCGAAAGCCUGAUCCAGCCAUGCCGCGUGUGUGAAGAAGGCCUUCGGGUUGUAAAGCACUUUCAGUGGGGAAGAAAGCCUUGGGGCUAAUACCCUCGAGGAAGGACAUCACCCACAGAAGAAGCACCGGCUAACUCCGUGCCAGCAGCCGCGGUAAUACGGAGGGUGCGAGCGUUAAUCGGAAUUACUGGGCGUAAAGCGCGCGUAGGCGGUCUGAUAAGCCGGUUGUGAAAGCCCCGGGCUCAACCUGGGAACGGCAUCCGGAACUGUCAGGCUAGAGUGCAGGAGAGGAAGGUAGAAUUCCCGGUGUAGCGGUGAAAUGCGUAGAGAUCGGGAGGAAUACCAGUGGCGAAGGCGGCCUUCUGGACUGACACUGACGCUGAGGUGCGAAAGCGUGGGUAGCAAACAGGAUUAGAUACCCUUGUAGUC
This 464-nucleotide ribosomal RNA is filed under the name Vreelandella stevensii. RNAcentral's name for it is "partial 16S ribosomal RNA". It matches the Rfam family "Bacterial small subunit ribosomal RNA", at positions 338 to 795 of the family's 1533-position model. The record is from RNAcentral. Lineage: Bacteria; Pseudomonadati; Pseudomonadota; Gammaproteobacteria; Oceanospirillales; Halomonadaceae.